CUACGACGUUGAUAGGUCGGGUGUGUAAGUGUAGCGAUACAUUGAGCUAACCGAUACUAAUGAACCGUGAGGCUUAACCU
RNAcentral lists this ribosomal RNA (80 nucleotides) under Enterobacter sp. CC120223-11. Its description in RNAcentral is "23S rRNA. Bacterial LSU". Lineage: Bacteria; Pseudomonadati; Pseudomonadota; Gammaproteobacteria; Enterobacterales; Enterobacteriaceae. The record is from RNAcentral.